RNAcentral lists this ribosomal RNA (189 nucleotides) under uncultured Paenibacillus sp. Its description in RNAcentral is "partial 16S ribosomal RNA". It matches the Rfam family "Bacterial small subunit ribosomal RNA", at positions 338 to 525 of the family's 1533-position model. The record is from RNAcentral. Lineage: Bacteria; Bacillati; Bacillota; Bacilli; Caryophanales; Paenibacillaceae.
CCUACGGGAGGCAGCAGUGAGGAAUAUUGCGCAAUGCCCGAAAGGGUGACGCAGCGACGCCGCGUGGAGGAUGAAGGCCCUAUGGGUCGUAAACUCCUAAUAGAGAGGAAGAAUGUUCCGCCUUUGGCGGAAUUGACGGUACUCUCCAAGAAAGGACCGGCCAACUACGUGCCAGCAGCCGCGGUAAUA